GUAGGGCGGCUUGUCGCUGAUAGCUAUGCUAUUUGAGGAAAGUCCGGGCAAAGUAGAGCAUCGUGCUUCCUAAUUAGAAGAUCUGCCGCGAGGUGAUGCUUAGCAUAACAGAAAUAUACCGCCGUAAGGUAAGGGUGAAAUGGUGAGGUAAGAGCUCACCGGAGUUGUGGGUGACCACUCUCGCUCUAUGCUGCCACGAUUUGUAAGGCCAUGUAUAUCCAAACCAGCUCUUGCUGACAUUGCUGCUCGUGAUGUUGAGAUUUCGGUCUCUGUUUGGAGGGGUAGGCCGCUUGAGUUGAAUGGUGACAUUCAAUCUAGAUAAAUGACAGGCGCGUGCUUUUGGCACGUACAGAACUCGGCUUAUAGUUCUACUA
Molecule: RNase P RNA, 374 nt
Filed under: human gut metagenome
Description: Bacterial RNase P class A
Rfam family: Bacterial RNase P class A
About the family: Ribonuclease P (RNase P) is a ubiquitous endoribonuclease, found in archaea, bacteria and eukarya as well as chloroplasts and mitochondria. Its best characterised activity is the generation of mature 5'-ends of tRNAs by cleaving the 5'-leader elements of precursor-tRNAs.
Source: RNAcentral